UACGUAGGGUGCAAGCGUUGUCCGGAAUUAUUGGGCGUAAAGGGCUCGUAGGCGGUCCAUCGCGUCGGGAGUGAAAAGCUGGGGCUCAACCCCAGUCCUGCUUCCGAUAGGGUGGACUAGAGGUAUGCAGGGGAGAACGGAAUUCCUGGUGUAGCGGUGAAAUGACGCAGAUAUCAGGAGGAACACCGGUGGCGAAGGCGGUUCUCUGGGCAUUACCUGACGCUGAGGAGCGAAAGCGUGGGGAGCAAACAGG
RNAcentral lists this ribosomal RNA (253 nucleotides) under uncultured bacterium. RNAcentral's name for it is "partial 16S ribosomal RNA". It matches the Rfam family "Bacterial small subunit ribosomal RNA", at positions 524 to 776 of the family's 1533-position model. The record is from RNAcentral.